Long non-coding RNA from Grammomys surdaster, 207 nucleotides. RefSeq lists it as uncharacterized. NCBI's taxonomy places the organism in Eukaryota, Metazoa, Chordata, Mammalia, Rodentia, Muridae. The transcript is spliced from 3 exons. The record is from RefSeq and is a predicted model, not a curated record.
AAGUGUUCCAGAAGGAUUUUGAGAACCAUCCUUUCCUAAAUUAAAGCUGGAAUAUUGAGGAUUUAGAAAAUUGAGGUUACCGUCUUAGACCCUCAGAAGCAGAGAGCUUGCUCUAUUGGAAUCAGAGAAAGUGUAAAGAAGACUUGAGAUUCAGAGGUGAAGGAUUUGAUGAACUUUGCUUGGCUCCUUAAUAUCAGAUCCGGGGGA